CGAAGUUGAGAGAGGUCGCCGGCGAAAUGGUGCGGCUGUAAAGUUUCCCUCGGCUCGUACGAAAUCCUACCUCUGACUUGACGCUUCUUCCUCUCCGGCAGCGCCGUUCAGGUGUUGCGGGAGUUCCGCGUGAUCACAGAUAAACUGUAAAAGAGCAAGGAGAGACUUGGGAAGUGCGCUGAAGGAGGACCAUUGUCAAUGGCUCGUAUAGUGGCUCCCACAGUGUGAAGUAAUCCAAGAAAAACUGUGUUUACAAUGUGCAGAUGCUGCCUGCACUCCAGAACUUUGUAUGUGUUGCUCAAUCGGCAAGAGUGCGAUGUAAAUCAUAGUCCUAUCAAACUCGUCUAAGCUGAAGGAGCACUGUUUUAAGGAAAUGGCAAAUGUGAUCUACUAUUUCAAAUGGGGAUUAAUACCAUCAAUAUCUAAUGUAUUUGAAGUCAUUUGAUACAUUCAUAUUGAACUCCUGCUCAAUGGAUGGUC
This is a long non-coding RNA of Hypanus sabinus (Atlantic stingray), 480 nucleotides long. RefSeq lists it as uncharacterized. The transcript has 4 exons. The record is from RefSeq and is a predicted model, not a curated record. Lineage: Eukaryota; Metazoa; Chordata; Chondrichthyes; Myliobatiformes; Dasyatidae.